This 253-nucleotide ribosomal RNA is filed under the name uncultured bacterium. RNAcentral describes it as "partial 16S ribosomal RNA". It matches the Rfam family "Bacterial small subunit ribosomal RNA", at positions 524 to 776 of the family's 1533-position model. The record is from RNAcentral.
GACAGAGGGUGCAAACGUUGUUCGGAAUCACUGGGCAUAAAGCGCACGUAGGCGGUCCACUAAGUCUCAUGUGAAAUCCCCCGGCUCAACCGGGGAAUUGCGCGAGAUACUGGUGGGCUAGAGAUCGGUAGGGGUGAGUGGAACUCCAGGUGGAGCGGUGAAAUGCGUAGAUAUCUGGAGGAACACCGGUGGCGAAAGCGGCUCACUGGACCGACACUGACGCUGAGGUGCGAAAGCUAAGGUAGCAAACGGG